GAGGUGCGCAGCUGCACGGCCGGGUUCAGAAGUACCACUUACGAAAUCCCACAAAGUUUUCACCCCGUAUUCGUGCUGUGAAGCGGUGCUUAAACCUGUGAGAGCGCAGCCCGCUGGCAUCUCUGUCAGCCUUUAGUGGAGAAAAACACCUUGGGCGCUCGGUGGGAGUUGUGCCGGUACGUGCUGUGAGGAGGGCGCCCGGGGGCUGACCGGAGGGCAUGGCGGGAAGCUGCUUCAUUGCUGGUACCUGAGUGCUCUGCGCUGCCGGGCCCAGGAGUUUCGUUUUCUGAAAUUAGUGGAAAAGCAGUCCUCAGCUGUACAAUUUUGCAGCCGUGUUAUGCACCUGGGAAAACUACCCUUCAUAUUAGAAUAUCUGUCACAUGCAGCUUGAAAGACACUGCAAGAGUAAAAGGGAUGGGAUCCUUAUUCCUCCUCUGCUGCCCUCUUAGUAAUCGCAAGGGAUCAACGUGUUCCAUGUGAUCAAAGAAAGGUGAAACUUCUGUGACAACAAGAUGAAAACAGGUUUGCACUGCAUCCUGUGGGAUAUUAGAAUGAGCUGCCAAGAAGCUAGAAGACAGGUCUUUCUAGACAAAAUAUCUAGACCAUGGAGCAUAUGGCAGCCUCCAAGGAAGACAACAUGUCUCAGUCUGCUGGAGAACUCUUCCCUUGCAGGCGACUUCUUUGGGAGAUGAAGGGAGAUGCCAGGGAUUUGGAUAACGUUCACUCAUCUCAGUCUUGGGGAAAAAUCUAGAUGGGCUGAUACGUGUUUGAGGACAUUGUGGAUGACCUCCAGGGGGACCGAACUCAUCAGAAAUCAGAUAUUAAAGGGCCGCUUCACCACUCCUGUCCCAUGUGAGAAAUGCAGGCAGAAAAUAAAGAUUUUGAUACACACUGCAGCACUGGGUAAGUCCUCUGCUGUAGCUCUUCCCCUCCUCUAUGUUAGAGCAUCCAUGCAGAAAUGUUUGAAAGAAUCAGUGUGGCCAUUGCUUGUCAGAGUCUCAAGUCUCAGAGUCUUGAGCUGUUAGCUAAGAACAUGCCAGAGCUGGAAACAUCUUCUUAAGACAGAAAUUUAACUAAGUUUAACUCAGUUGAUUUUCACCUAGAACAAAAAUGACUAUACCAGAGAUUCAAAAAGACAACCCUAACAGCCUUCAAAGUGAAACCAUUUGCUCUAACUGGAUAGACAAAAACUAACAAACAAAAACAAGCAAACAAAAAAAACAAAACAAAACCCUGCCAAUAUACUGCAUCUUGGUUUCAGAUUAAAUUCUUUGCAUUUGGUAAAAUAAAUCUAGCCUUUUUAAGUUAGAAAAUAUAUAUGUAUAUAAAUAUUUACAAAGGCUGCUCAGAAAGUAAUGCCUUCUAUUUUAUUAUGUUGGCCCAUGAAGUCAGAGGUGGAUGUUGGUGGGAAGGCAGUAGAGAUUGAACCUUCCUGCCAAUAUUCUGUUACUUCUUAUUGCCAUGCAACAGAUGACAGCAGAGGGGCAGUCUGACAAAAGGAUAUCUAACAUGGAAGUGUGUAUACAGUAAAGGUGUGUCACUGAAUUCCUCCAUGCGGAAGAACUGGCACCCACUGACAUUCAUCAAUGCUUGAGGAAUAUUUAUAGGGAACAAACAGUGGAUGUGAGCACACUGAUGCAGUGUGUGAUGCGUUUCAGCAGUGGUGACAUUGAUGGGAAAGGUAAGCCACAUUCCAGAUGACCAUGCACAACUGUCAGAACACCAAAUGAAGAGCAUCUCAAUCAGCUCACUUGCACUAAUUGGCAGAUUAUGAUCAAGGAACUGUAUAUAGAGCUCAAUAUCAGGUUCAAUGCAUUUGAAACAAUGGUGGUAAUGUUGGAAUAUUGCUAAGUUUGAGCUAGGAGGGUCCCACGAAUUCUCACACAAGGAACAGAAAGAACACUGUGUCCAAGUUUGUUAAGAUCUAUUGGACUAAUACGACGCUGAAGGUGACAGUCUCUUGCAUCACAUCAUUACUGGUGACAAGAUCCGAACUCAAAACAGCAGUCUCUGGAGUGGUGAUAUGUGAAUUCCCCAUGAAAGAAGAUGUUCAAGACAGCUCUCAGCAGAUAACUGAUUGGGAUAGGGGUGAUUUUCUGAAUUUACUAGAACCCAAACAAACCUUCAACUCUGACUGCUACGUUGCAAUCCUGACUAAGCUAAAGUCUUGAACUUUCAGAAUUAGGCCAGAGAAGAAGAGAAGACAACUUCUCUCUUGCAAUGUGAUAACACCAGGUGCUAUAUCACUUUGUAGACCAUGGAGUAUAUUGCCAAUCUUGGCUGUCCUAUCCCACACACCACGUAGCCUAGAUUUGACACCUUCUGGCUUCCAUCUGUUUGGGCCAGUCAAAGAUGGACUGUGUGGGCAACAUUUUCCCAGCAAUACACCAUCAUAGCAGCUGUGAAAAAGUGGGUUACUUCUGCUGGUGCAGAUUUUUAUAAGUGCGGCAUGCAAGUUCUUGUUCAUCACAGAUAAAAAUGCAUAGGUAAUGGUAGCGACUGUGUUGAAAAAUAGUGUUUUGUAGCUGAGAAUUUGUUCUAUCAAGUAGUGUUAUUGUGUUAUUUGAUGUCAUUUCCAUGAAAACAAUGGAGGCAUUACUUUUGGAGUGACCUUUGUGUGUAUGUGUAUGUAUAUAUGCGCAAAAUUAUAUGUAAAUUGAACAGUUUUGCCUUUGUGAAGCUAGGUGAAAAACACUCUAGAAGCAUAAGCCACAGGAACAGAAGCUGAAAUAAGAAUCCAUUGAAAUUCAUACCUCGAGUUUAUACGUUUUUAGAAGUGUAUUUUUCCCUUUCAGACUGGUGAGCUGAGGUCUUUAAUUGACAAAGAUGACCCAGUGCCUCACCCUUUACCCCCUAAACUUAAUUUUAAGUAAAACUCAUAUGCUUCUCUCUAGUGGUUCCUUUUUAAUUGCCUUGAAUGUCUGAACUCUGUUAAAAUGUUUGGAGUUUCCAAGUCCAGUUGUACACAGAAAAAAUUGCUAGUUUGCAAGCUGUAACUGAAGUCAGAGAUUAGGUAUUGAUCUCAAAAGAAAAUUACUAAGGAUUGUGGGAGAUCUUGCUCUGACAAGAAAGGAUGACUUUUGAGGCCUCCAAAGAUGCAAAAUUCUUUCAAUGAUGUGCAUUAGUGCUAAUCAGUAUGUGUUGCCAUGGUUCAGUAGAAGUCAGUGCUGAACUUCACAAAACUCUUUCAACCUUUUCUCUCUAACUGUAUAAAUGUGAAAGUAACAAUAAAUCUUGUUGACAAUUACUUCCACAUCUAUUGGCAGUCAGUCAGGUGCAAUGUGAACAGCAUUGUGCACAAUAUGGGUAGCACAGCCAACACCUAUUAACUAUCUCCCUAGUUUCUCCUGUGACUUACAGAACAUGUUAUUUUUCCCCAGUGAGUAGCCCUUUCAAAUGUUGAAUUAGUAAUAUUAGCACCAAAUACUACUAAUUUGUCAGCCAGGCUGUGUUUUUCCAAAGUGUUCACAAUAGGGGCUGAUAACUGCUUUGCAGUUCAGCAGAGCAAAGAUGAAAAUUCAGAAACUUUCUAAAUCAUUUGUAUAAGACUCAAAGUAGGUUUUUGUUUGUUUGUUUGUUUGUUUUUGUUUUGUAACCACUAGAAUAUUCAAUAUGUAUGUUUAAAAAAGAAAAAAAGUGGCAUUUCAGCUUCACUCAGCAAGAUACUUAACUGCAUGGUAAUAUGGAAGUAUAUAUUUAGGUUCUUUGAAGAACCAGAGCUAGAAACAUUUUUAAUAGCAUGAAAUCUUUGUUCAAAGAACACAUUGUCAGGACCACCUUUGUAUUUUCAGAUUUUAGUGGCUAGCUUAACUAAUAUUUAUGAAGAAGUAAAUCUCUCUGCUAUAAAUAACAAUUUUCUAUUGUAUAUAAUGCAUUCAUUGCUUGAACAGUUUUCAUUGACAUCAGUAUGAAACCUGUGCAAAUAAUUUUGUAGCAUAUGAAACUGAAAAUCACAAAUGGUUGAGGGUUG
Long non-coding RNA from Gallus gallus (chicken), 3970 nucleotides. Lineage: Eukaryota; Metazoa; Chordata; Aves; Galliformes; Phasianidae. The record is from Ensembl.